This 479-nucleotide ribosomal RNA is filed under the name uncultured bacterium. RNAcentral describes it as "partial 16S ribosomal RNA". It matches the Rfam family "Bacterial small subunit ribosomal RNA", at positions 28 to 507 of the family's 1533-position model. The record is from RNAcentral.
GAUGAACGCUGGCGGCGUGCUUAACACAUGCAAGUCGAACGAAGCACUUAAGAUUGAUUCUUCGGAUGACGUCUUUUGUGACUUAGUGGCGGACGGGUGAGUAACGCGUGGGUAACCUGCCUCACACAGGUGGAUAACAGUUAGAAAUGACUGCUAAUACCGCAUAACCCGAUAGGAUCGCAUGAUCCAGACGGAAAAGAUUUAUCGGUGUGAGAUGGACCCGCGUCUGAUUAGCUAGUUGGUGAGGUAACGGCCCACCAAGGCGACGAUCAGUAGCCGGCCUGAGAGGGUGAACGGCCACAUUGGGACUGAGACACGGCCCAAACUCCUACGGGAGGCAGCAGUGGGGAAUAUUGCACAAUGGGGGAAACCCUGAUGCAGCGACGCCGCGUGAGUGAAGAAGUAUUUCGGUAUGUAAAGCUCUAUCAGCAGGGAAGAAAAUGACGGUACCUGACUAAGAAGCCCCGGCUAACUACGUG